AGCAGCCCCCUUUGGGUCCCUUCCCUUUGUAUGGGAGCUCUGUUUUCAUGCUAUUUCACUCUAUUAAAUCUUGCAACUGCACUCUUCUGGUCCAUGUUUGUUACGGCUUGAGCUGAGCUUUUGCUCGCCAUCCACCACUGCUGUUUGCCACCACCGCAGACCUGCCGCUGACUCCCAUCCCUCCGGAUCCUGCAGGGUGUCCACUGUGCUCCUGAUCCAGCAAGGCACCCACUGCUGCUCCCGAUCGGGCUAAAGGCUUGCCAUUGUUCCUGCAUGGCUAAGUGCCCGGGUUCAUCCUAAUUGAACUGAACACUAGUCACUGGGUUUCAUGGUUCUCUUCCGUGACCCACGGCUUCUAAUAGAGCUAUAACACUCACCGCAUGGCCCAAGAUUCCAUUCCUUGGAAUCUGUGAGGCCAAGAACCCCAGGUCAGAGAACACGAGGCUUGCCACCAUCUUGGAACCGGCCUGCUACCAUCUUGGAAGUGGCUCACCACCAUCUUGGGAGCUCUGUGAGCAAGGACCCCCCGGGAACAUUUUGGCAACCACGAACGGACAUCCAAAGUGAAUCGAAGCUGUAAAACUACAAAUGGAGCCCAAGAUGCAGUCCAAGACUAAGAUCUACCACAGACCCCUGGACUGGCCUGCUAGCCCACGAUCUGAUGUUAAUGACAUCAAAGGCACCCCUCCUGAGGAAAUCUCAACUGCACAACCUCUACUACGCCCCAAUUCAGCAGGAAGCAGUUAGAGCGGUCGUCGGCCAACCUCCCCAACAGCACUUAGGUUUUCCUGUUGAGAUGGGGGACUGAGAGACAGGACUAGCUGGAUUUCCUAGGCCUACUAAGAAUCCCUAAGCCUAGCUGGGAAGGUGACCACAUCCACCUUUAAACACGGGGCUUGCAACUUAGCUCACACCUGACCAAUCAGAGAGCUCACUAAAAUGCUAAUUAGGCAAAAACAGGAGGUAAAGAAAUAGCCAAUCAUCUAUUGCCUGAGAGCACAGCAGGAGGGACAAUGAUCGGGAUAUAAACCCAGGCCUUCGAGCCAGCAACGGCAACCCCCUUUGGGUCCCCCCUCCCUUUGUAUGGGAGCUCUGUUUUCAUGCUAUUUCACUCUAUUAAAUCUUGCAACUGCA
RNAcentral lists this small RNA (1134 nucleotides) under Pongo abelii (Sumatran orangutan). Its description in RNAcentral is "processed transcript". Lineage: Eukaryota; Metazoa; Chordata; Mammalia; Primates; Hominidae. The record is from RNAcentral.